This 6301-nucleotide long non-coding RNA is filed under the name Fragaria vesca (wild strawberry). RNAcentral's name for it is "long non-coding RNA (FVES_LNC005466)". Lineage: Eukaryota; Viridiplantae; Streptophyta; Magnoliopsida; Rosales; Rosaceae. The record is from RNAcentral.
UUGACGAUCAAGCUCAUAUAUUUAAAAAAAAACCAUUAAAAACAUAUUAUCACAAUACCCUUAAACUAAUUAACCCUUAGUUCAAGGGAGGACAACUUUCCAAAGUCGUUGAACUUAGAGGCCGAAAAUGGCUGCCUCUAAUCCUCUAAUCCUUAAAUCCUUACUCAACCUCCACUAAGCCUAAUAUCACACCCAAAGUUCUAACACGCAAACCUUGCUCACAACCUAGGAAUUCUACAUCUUAACAAGCUCACAACAACAAGAGCUAGCUAAAACACAGCAACCUAAGCCAUAAACAUAGUCGAACGCGCUGCCACGCGCCGCCACAGGCGGCGGCGAGUUGGCCCCACGCGCCAAAAACUUUCGAAUUUGAGAAAACUCUCAACAGCAAAGUUGAAGCUUGAAGCAAAGGGAACAACUUUCAUACCUGAGGCUUCAACCAAUUUUGGCCGGAACCGGCCGGAAAAUGCCACGAAACCCUAACCCGGAAUCAAACUUCAAACUUGCAAAUCCGGGCUCAAAAACCUCAAAACUUGAUUCAAUCUAUGCCUAGACACUACCAGGAGGAGGAGAGGAUCAAGACUCACCUAAGGAUGCCCCUCGUCGCCGCCGGAAACGGCGAGUCCGACCGGAGACACAGCAGCCCUCUUUCCAGCAAUAAGGCUCCGAUUCCGGCGUGCCACACCGAGCAGCAGCUGCCCAGUCUUGAAGAGAGCACUUGUGGGAGUCAAAUGGGACCAGUGGCGGUCCAAUUGGUGGCUGGACGGCGGAGCUAGCUCCGGCGGAAGUUUGGUGUGCGGGUGAGUUCGGGAGAGGAAGAGAGAGAAAAGAGAGAAGAGAGUGAACUGGGUGAGGAGAGUGAGAAGAGAGAGAGCUGAUUUGUGUUAGGGUUUCCAAAAUAACCCACACACAAUUUUCUACUUAAACACUUUCCACACCCGGAAACUAACUUCCUCUGACCAUAACUUUCUCAUACGACAUCCGUUUUAAGCGUACCGUAUGUCUACGAACUCGUAUCGACAAACUCUACAACUUUCAAGAAGGAAGUUUUCGAAAAUAACUUACGGAAAAUAAAGUCAACUUUUGGCCUCUUAAAAGUCAAAACACCUUAAAAUAAACUCCUGAAACUUCAACUUCGCAUAAACCAAAGAAUUUCCAUAAAUAAUCCUUCAUUAAUUAAGGAAAUAAUACAAGAAAAAAUGAUAUGAAAAUCUAGGGUAUUACAAGCAAUAUCGCCAAGGAGAAAGAAGAACAUAACCUCGACAUCGCUUAACCCGAGUUCCUAUCUCUUCCAUUGUGUCUUCCAUGCUAUCUUUAUUUCUAGUCAUGUUUUCUUUGGCUAUGGAUUUCUAAACUUCUAGCUAGGGCUGAGAUAAAGCCCCCAGUAUGAUUACUCUAUUUUUUUAGUUGAUUUCUUUUGAAUUCAUGGAUUUCUAUGUUAAAUUCUCAAUCACUGUUUCAAUUGAACUUUUAUUCAAAAUCUUUGCUCAGGACCAAUAAGACCUAGGUUUUGUUUAUUAGUUAUUUGGCUAGAAAACAUGAGACUUGAUCGAGAGUAGAUGUUUUCUAGGGUUUCAAAGGAUUUAUUUAAUCUUGUGAUUAGAGAGUUGUAAGUUAAGGAUACAAGUGUUUGAUCAUAGUCGAUAUUCUUGUUUACAUGAUCUCCUAGUUCUUUUGUGUUUAAUGGAGUUGAACAUGUGUCAGGACCCACCCCGGAUUUCACCCUGAAAUCCGGAAUGAACACUGCGGGGAUCAACUCCAAAGAAGAUGCUACCGGAAAUUCAGCAUAACAUCCCUUGAAAAUAGACAACUCUUCCUAAAAACACCUGCAAACACACUUAUAAAAAAAUCAUACUCCAACCUUGUACUCCUGGAGCCUUCCUGCUCCCCAAGUUCAUCACAUCUCCCAAAAUAUCAAAUACUAAUCUAAAAGAAUCUCACUUCUAACAACAAAGACAUUUAAUAAUUUAUUAACUCGAUUAUCAUAACAUAUAUAAUAAUGAAAGAAAAAUAAUGAAUAAAGAAUAAGCGGAAACAGCCUCUGACUAUGCCUCGACUCUAUGUACGCUCGACCUCAAAUAAACUUAGUCUGCAAACUGGGCAUUUGAAACCGAAGAACCCAGAGGAAAGUAAUUUAAAACGUUAGAGUGAGUGGACAAAAAUAAAUUGAAUAAUUUAACAUAAAUGUAAUUUAAAUACUUUCCCACGUUUAAACUUUAAAAACUUAGAUGCACGCAACUUUAAUCAUCCAAAAAAACUUUAAAUCCAGAGUCACGAAAGAAUGAACAAACCAGCAAUACUGAAAUUUUGUAAGAAGAGACAAACCAGCCCCGUUGGUUAAUCAAUUACAUAAAUGAGAAAAUAAAACAAGGGGAAGAAAUAUAUCACCAUGUAAGAGGAGCUUCUUAGACUCGGGUCGGAACCUCCCAGACUCUAGUAGCGUCCCACGCUAAGCGCUCGACUCACCUAUGGUGAGGACCGUUAAUAAAGGCUAGCUAGCAAUGAACAAUAACCGAUUAGUGUCUCCCAGGCUAUAAUAGCGUCUCACGCUAAGCGCUCAACUCACCUAUGAUGAGGACCGCAUGCUAGCUAGUAAUGAAUAAGAGCUAGUAUGGUGACUAAAAACAUACGAAAUCACUAUUCAUAAAGCUUCCCUAAGAUCAUGUGAAUAGUACGGUUCUCAACCGUACUUAGAAAUUAUCAUCAGAAAUUAAAAUAAAACUCAAUGACGUGUCUCACGUCAAAAUAUUCUCAAAUUUAUAAUUAUAAGCGAGAUUUCAUUAUAAAUCAUAAAUAAUAUCUCCACCUGAAAUACUCACUAAACAAUUCUCAAUGUCAAGAUCAUUAUGCGACAAAUAAACGAGAAAAUUAUGAUGGAGAACUACCAGAAGUCCCAUUUUCGGUAUUCUUUUAUAAAUCUCAAAGUCAACAAAUAAAACAAUAAGAAUUAAAUCCGGAAUUGAUAAAGAAUAUCAAAACUCAAAUACCAAAUUAAUAACCCGACCUCAAAUCCAUAAAUCAUGACAAACUCUUAAUCAAUGCAUCAAACUCAAAUAAAUUUCAAGACCAUAUCAUAAACCGAAAUUUAUAAUAUAAGCUCGGAAAAUAGAAUGAUAAUUUCCAAAAUAAACCAUGCAUGCUUAUUCAUUUAAAAACAAAGUGUCCACUCACCGUAUUAGGCAUAAGCUUUCCAUUGCUCAUGACACUCCUCGCGCGCUGCCUCCAAAUAUCCAAGUCCUUGAGUCAAUCCCACACCUGACCAUAAGCUGUAGGACAAAUCGGUCAAACCGAACUUUGAAAUAACCAUUGCCUCGUCUUCUUUCCUAGUUUGACUCGGGUUUCCUAGGUUGACCAGGAUUUACCAAUUAACGAUGUUCAACGUUUUCCAAUCCAACCUUUGACUUAACAAUUCGAUACAAUUUUCACUAUACGUCCUACUAACAGUUAGGCACUUAGGCGUCGCUUAAUAAUUCGUUUUGGUGAACCUCGAUUUUGAUUAAUCAAACUAAUGUAAUUUGAUUAACUCAAAAACAUACGAACCACCUUAAUCUGAAAAACCACCAAAUUACUAAGGGCACCCAAAAGGGUUUGCAUAACCGAAAAGUUUUCAAAAAUGGAAAGUUUCUUAAAAUAGAAACUUUCAUAACUUGGUAAUUUUUCCAAUUACAACCCGAACUUUCCUAUUUCCGAAGUGACAUAAAACAAAAACAAAACAUCGAUCACUACCUCUACCAAAAUAUUUUGCCGGAAUUUCACGAUAGUCUCCCUGUAUCUUCCAAUCUGCAAGUUAUCGACAAGCAUGUAGAAAAUUAAACGAUUUAACCACCAGUCCAACAGAAUAUCGCACUAGCCACAACACAGAAGCUUUUAAGAAACGGGAUUUACCCUCUACUUUCCAGAACGAAGAAUACGAUAAUCGAAGCUCCUCCUUACCUCAGCCAUGACCAAAUCGGAGAACCAACAGAAAAACAGGGAACCUCCCUUCGCCAGAAAACCUCUGCCUCCAACCCUUCCCAGGACGCGUCUUGGCUCCAAUCAACUAUUUCUAGACUCACCGGAUCUCGGUGGUCUCGCUAGAGCACCAAGAACAAACUCGCCGGAAAAACCUCGACAAAAACACAAAAGAGGGUUUUUUGAAUUAGUGCUCGAAUUAAGAAAACAAAGACACCAAAAGGGAGAGGAAAGAGAGGCGACCAAGAAUAUACCCAACGAAAUCGUCAUCUCCACCGAAGCUCGUUGGGAAUUGAAGAAGAAGACAACCGCACACCACCGCGAUCAACCUCCCUCUAUAAUGGAUGCAAGUUAGAUUGUUUUGGCUAGGCUAGGAAGGAGAGAAGAAAAGAAGAAGUUUAAUGGUGGUCUCGCCGUCUGGGGUGGCCGGAAGAGGCCAGUGCGUGGCGGAGGAGGAUGGCUACGACGGAGAGAGAGAGAGAGAGAGAGAGAAGAAAAAGGGAGACGGGUCAAUGCCCAUAGGGGGCUUUUGACCGAACUCAACCUCCUAUUUUCCUUUUAUGUUUAAUCCAAAGGCCAAGAUCAAAACCCUAAUUGAUCCGACGGCCCAGAUUAAUCCACAAUUUUCUAAUUUCAGAAAAAUUAAUUUCUUUUUACUAAACCUUCGAUAAAUGGUAGAAAAUAGCUCGAAACUCCGAAAAAUAAUCCGAAGACACCGUUGAACUUGUGUCGACGCAUACUACAACAUCGGGGCCUUAAAAGAAAAAUUUGAUAUUUUGAGAAAAAACUCGAAAAUGAACUUGAACAUUAACUUACUAAGUUACCGAGCACGAUUAAAUUCCUUAGUAACUGGUAGAAUACCCAGUAAAUAGGUAAAAUUGGGUACGGGGGGCGUUACAACAUGUUUCCUUGAACCUGCUCAUAAUGUGAAGUAAAUUAUAGUUUGACUACUUGAGUUCUAUACGGGAUCAAUAAGUUAGAAUUCAUUGGUUAGAAGAACUUCAGCAUAUGUCCUAGAUCAAUAAAUCUUAUGUACGAAAUUCUUUAGCAUGCAAUCUAGGGAGUCCAAUUGCUAUCAACUAGAGAGGAGGGUAAGAGUAUUAGGUGGUGGCAUGGAUUCAAUGCUUUAACAUCUGCAUAAUCUGUUCUUAAACUCUUCAUAAUCUCAUUGCUUUGUUUUGUUUUUAGUUUUGUAUUUUAUUUCUACAAUUUUUUUUUUCUAUUCAUCAACAUAUCAUACAAUUUAGCAUGCAAUCUAGGGAGUUCAAUUGCUAUCAACUAGAGAGGAGGGUAGGAGUAUUAGGUGGUGAAUUCAAUGCUUUAACAUCUACAUAAUCUGUUCUUAAACUCUUCAUAAUCUCAUUGCUUUGUUUUAUUUUUAGUUUUGUAUAUUAUUUCUACAAUUUUCUGUUUUCAUUCAUCAACAUCAUAAAAUCAGUGUGUUUAUUUCAUUAGGUGUAGUAUAAUUGGCAUAGUAAGUUGUUUUAAUCAAUUCAUAGAGGGAACGACCUCGUGCUUGCACUUUCUAUUCUAUAAUUGGUUCAUGCACUUGCGAGUACUAUAUUAAAACAUAAAACAAGCACACAAUUCUAACUUCUUUAUACGAAACAAUAUGGAACGAGAACAAGAUCGACUGUCAUUCCGAGGCCUUCCGUGAAGAUCACAACGUUAAAUCUAACCUAUGAAGACAGGCCCAAAAUCCUCUUGUCCUCAAGGUACCAUCCAUAGUAGGCACCCUGAGGUUCAGACCACCUUUGGCCACUCCCUUGCUAGUCUCCUCUAGCCGCUGACUGCCUCUGCUGCCACCAAAAACCACCGUCGACGCAAAGGAACAUAAUGCUGAGCAGGGCCGCCUCAUCCCCGGCUAGAAGGAGUCAACAAUAGUUUGAGAAACCCGAUCCAGAACCCCCAACGCCAACGAGCCCUUCAUGAGCCCAACAAGAUUCAGACCCAAAUCAUAAAGCAUCAACUAGCCGUCGUCCUCCUCUGUAGAUCUCUCCUCCGAACUCGAAGCCAGAAGCAUUGCCUUGAGCCUGUCCUCCUCAUCAUGCCCCCACACCUUCAAAUCAACUCCCCACCAAUUCGGACCCACACGCAAGCUACCACCUCCGAAAUCCCCACUUUCCGGGUUCGUGGAAACACCUUGGCCACCACCAUCCACGAGACCUAGUGAAAAAGGAGAAGAGAAAGGAGAGGAAGAAGGUGGUGAAUUACCACAGGUUUUGUGGAUGGGGAAUAUCCCUAAUCCAUCGUUGAUUUUUCCAAAGCCGCCACAUAAAAAACCUAGCAACGACCUCCUUUUUAGACUUGAGAGAGAGAGAGAGAGAGAGAGAGAGAGAGAGAGAGAGAA